Hippocampus comes (tiger tail seahorse) is the source of this 348-nucleotide long non-coding RNA. RefSeq lists it as uncharacterized. The record is from RefSeq and is a predicted model, not a curated record. The transcript has 3 exons. Lineage: Eukaryota; Metazoa; Chordata; Actinopteri; Syngnathiformes; Syngnathidae.
UGUGACAAUUGGUCUUUUUUUGCUGUUUGUUUACAAUACUACAACCAUGAGGGGCUUUGCCCCAACAUGGAGCCGGCCAGGAGGAAAUAUGGAGGACAGCCAGCAUUAAAAAGAACUGCUGCAACCAAGGGGAUUGUCGUAAUGCAGGCUGUGUUUGCGAAUUUGCAAUUUAUGCACCCAUCACUCUCAACGUUGCUACGGCUGCUUCACGGUGAAGUUCAGCUGAAGGUUGCAUUUCAAUGCAAACAUGAAUUGCACAUGAGAUGAAGAGUUGAGAUCAUCUCAAAUGACGGAGAGAGCGAAAGACAGGAAAACGAAAAAUAAAAUGUUGAACUACACUAAAGAGAG